Molecule: long non-coding RNA, 808 nt
Organism: Hevea brasiliensis (rubber tree)
Lineage: Eukaryota; Viridiplantae; Streptophyta; Magnoliopsida; Malpighiales; Euphorbiaceae
Exons: 2
Source: RefSeq, a predicted model, not a curated record
AUUCAUGUAGACAUCUUUGAAUAUAUACAGGGAUCAUUAAUCUCCCUAGCUCCUUUAUUUGGAAUCUCUCUUCCAAAACAAAAAUCAGUGGCCCAUGUGGGUUGGUUAACAACUGUAAAAAACUUUGAAAUUUUUUUACCAUGAAGACAUGGACAUGUAUGAAAGCGACAUUAAUUGGGCAGGCACUGGAAGACAUAAUUAUUGAAGGGGAUCUAAAGAAAAAGGUAGUUUUCACUCCAUCAAUCCCAAGCCUCUACCCUGAAUUCACUCUUAUCUUCCUUUUUGCCUCUUUUUGUCAUCUGAUCUGGAAAGAAGAGAGUGGAUUCUUAUUUUAGUAAUGGAAAGAUGGGACUCCUCAUUCUCAGAUGGGGUCUAUGACAACAGAGCCAACAAGACAUUACCACAGCAAGUUCAGCAGGUAUGCUUAAGAGGCCCAUACUGGAGAUGGAGAUGAUUUUAAGCUGGGUGUCAUUUGGAUCUCUGUUAUCAGGCAAGUGAAGCCAUGUUGUUUUUGUGCUUAGCCCUGGUUGCAAAAAGAUUGUCCUUCUCUUCUUAUAUUACUCAUAUGACAAAGCAAAUUUCGAGUUUCACCUCUCCAAUCCCCUACGAAAAGAAAAAGGUCUGGGGACCUACAUUUACAAAUAAUAAGGUUGUUACCUAGAAAGUAUGCCAAAGUAUCAUUUGCAAGAUUAUAUAUAUAUUUUUAGCCACAAAGCAUUCUUGCUCAAUCAUGUUUAUUACCCCAUAUUCUGCAUGUAUACAUGUGUAUUUUUUUGUCUGAAUAGAAAGGGAGGUUUCUUUGUCCUAA